Molecule: long non-coding RNA, 2371 nt
Filed under: Cinara cedri
Lineage: Eukaryota; Metazoa; Arthropoda; Insecta; Hemiptera; Aphididae
Source: RNAcentral
UUAGAUACAUUUAUUAUGACGAGAAUAUAUAUAUAUAAAAAAAUUUUGUAUAGCUAUGUUUUUUCUAUCUCUAGUAUUGUGCGUAUAAAAGAGAAGCUCAUAUCGUUUUUAUUUUUAUUUAUUUUUUUUUUUUUCAUAAAACAAAUUUCGAUUUUUAUAAUAUUAUUUAUAGGUAUUUACGAUUUUUAUUUUUUUCCAGUUUUAAAAGCUCAACUUUGACGUCUUCUGAUAAUAUUGUAUGUUAUAAUGUUAUAAUAUAUUAUUUGUCUUACACAUUGAAUUAAUACGUUUUUAGAUAAAAUAUACAUAUAAAUCAUGUAAUAAUAUUUUUAUAGACGUGUAAAAUCUAUUACACACAAUAAUAUUAGAUAUAUUGUAAUAUCGUAUGAUGAUCAUCAUUACCAUUUUGUCUUAAUUUCUGUCAUUGUAGCCAAUUUCUCUGUCAUGAGUCACAGACUGUAUAAACAUCCCAUCGGCUGCUCGAUAUCAUUGAAAAUUGAUUUGCGGGCCUCACCUCGUAGCCUCCUUCCUUGCACUCUCCCUUUCACACGGUAUUGGUAAAUGAAAUUAUUAUGGCUCGUCAAAUGACCAGUUAAUUUCAUUUUUCUCCCCGUAUUGAGUUGUGUUGGAUACAAAAGUAUGUUCUUUUUUAUUAAAUUCUUCUGGGAUUGCUUCGUCAAUUGCUUUCUCUUCCACUCAGUCGGUCCUCGUCAUUCUUCGCUACAACCACAUCAUUUCCAUCACCUCCAACCACUCACGUUCGUGAUAUUUUCCCAUCGCCCAAGUUUCACAACUAUAAAGUAAAAUCGCGAUGAAACUUGGACGAUGGGAAAUGGGACGAUGUACGAUUAUAUAUUACUUAAUGUAAUACAGUAAAAUAUUUUUUUUUUUUCAUAUUAUACGACUCCGAGUCGUUUACAUACAAAUAUUAAUACAUUGAUAAUAUUGUCGAGUGCCCAUAAAUUAUAAUAUACACAAUAGACUUAAUCGCACGCAUUUAGAUUUCGUCAACUGAUCUUUACUAAAACAUUUUUGAACUACUAAAAAACUAAAACCCUACACUAAAUAGUACAAUAUAGUGUCGUCGAAAUGCAAAUAAUAUUAUGCAUUCAUUAUUAGAGGGUAAAUUAUAUUAUACGUUAUUACAUACUAGAGGAAUCAAUAGAGUACCAAAUUAUUUAAAUAUUAACAAUAAUUUUACAAUAAAAAUAAAGUGUCAUUGUUCUUGAUACCUAUACAGGUAUUCUAUUAUAACUGGGGGGGAGGAAUAUUCUAAAUUUGUAUGAUAAAUAUACGACGAUGUACGAUCGUAAUGGAACAAUAUUAUUAAUAUAUUAUUAUUGUUGUUAAACAAUAAGAAAUAAAAAAUAAAAUACAGACUGACAUUACUAAACAUUAACGAGAAAUAAUUAAUAAUAUUAUUUAGAAACGCUUUUUUUUUUACGUUAUAAUAAAUUAAUAUUUAUAAAUUAUAAUGUAUAAUAUUUAUAUAGCGCGUGUAUUGUAAGAAAAUAUUGUAAGAAAAAAAAACCCGUUUACAUUGUGAUUAUUGACAUAAUAUUUACGUAUACCCGCCCGAUUUAUAACUAUAUACAUAAACCGUGGUAUAUUAUUAAUUAUUAUUGUAUUCGCAUUUUAUUCGGAUAUACAUUUUUACGAUAUUAUUAAUUAUAUAUUAUUACAAUCGAUCAUCGAUGUUAUUGUGUUUUAGUUUCCGGUGAUUUUUACGAAAUAUUUUAAAAAUAACAUUGUUAAUAAUUUAUCGCGUUUUAUAGCGGUGACUGCCGGGGAGUACGCGCCAAAUAUUAAUUAUUACCGUUAUUUAUUUAUUUAUUAUUAAUAUUUCCGGAGAGAUUGAUAAGAUCGAAUUUGUCGUGGAAAUCCGUUUACGAAAAUACAGUAUUGGUAAAUCGUAGAGGCUUGACCUGAGCCGAAUCACGCUUAAUACGUCAAUCGAAUUGCAAUCGGGUUGAAAAAUAACAAAAAGGUAAUAGUCGAACUGCACAUGGGCCAAGAAAAUGUGUGGAAAAUAAACUUAAUUUUAAAUAAAAAAUACCUUAUACUCAAAUAAUAUAAUAUAAUAAAGUGUAUGAGCCACGGGUAUAAUAUACUAUAUAACAAUACAUAUACAGGCUGUCCCACGAAGAUAUACCUCUUGAAUAUUUCCGGAGAUAAUAAAGAUAAUCAAAUUCUGUUUUUUUUUUUUUAUAUUACUCACAGGAAUGAGGACUAAAAAUAUUUAUUUUUUAAUUAAGUCUUUUUCUGUUAUUAAAAACAUUUAAAUAUAACUUUAUUUUACUAAUUUUAAAAUAGCCAUUCUAUAAAGAUUAUUAUUCUGAAAAUUUUAAUACAUCACACAUUUAUAUCCAAU